Molecule: transfer RNA, 66 nt
Filed under: Haplosialis sp.
Lineage: Eukaryota; Metazoa; Arthropoda; Insecta; Megaloptera; Sialidae
Description: tRNA-Met
Source: RNAcentral
AAAAAGAUAAGCUAAAUAAGCUAUUGGGUUCAUACCCCAUUUAUAUAGGUUUUUAAAUCCUUUUUC